RNAcentral lists this ribosomal RNA (679 nucleotides) under Flavobacterium psychrophilum. Its description in RNAcentral is "bacterial SSU rRNA". It matches the Rfam family "Bacterial small subunit ribosomal RNA", at positions 632 to 1319 of the family's 1533-position model. The record is from RNAcentral. Lineage: Bacteria; Pseudomonadati; Bacteroidota; Flavobacteriia; Flavobacteriales; Flavobacteriaceae.
ACUGUUUGGCUUGAAUUAUUUGGAAGUAACUAGAAUAUGUAGUGUAGCGGUGAAAUGCUUAGAGAUUACAUGGAAUACCAAUUGCGAAGGCAGGUUACUACAAAUUGAUUGACGCUGAUGGACGAAAGCGUGGGUAGCGAACAGGAUUAGAUACCCUGGUAGUCCACGCCGUAAACGAUGGAUACUAGCUGUUGGGAGCAAUCUCAGUGGCUAAGCGAAAGUGAUAAGUAUCCCACCUGGGGAGUACGUUCGCAAGAAUGAAACUCAAAGGAAUUGACGGGGGCCCGCACAAGCGGUGGAGCAUGUGGUUUAAUUCGAUGAUACGCGAGGAACCUUACCAAGGCUUAAAUGUAGAUUGACCGGUUUGGAAACAGACUUUUCGCAAGACAAUUUACAAGGUGCUGCAUGGUUGUCGUCAGCUCGUGCCGUGAGGUGUCAGGUUAAGUCCUAUAACGAGCGCAACCCCUGUUGUUAGUUGCCAGCGAGUCAUGUCGGGAACUCUAGCAAGACUGCCAGUGUAAACUGUGAGGAAGGUGGGGAUGACGUCAAAUCAUCACGGCCCUUACGCCUUGGGCUACACACGUGCUACAAUGGCCGGUACAGAGAGCAGCCACUACGCAAGUAGGAGCGAAUCUACAAAACCGGUCUCAGUUCGGAUCGGAGUCUGCAACUCGACUCC